Molecule: ribosomal RNA, 424 nt
Filed under: uncultured bacterium
Lineage: Bacteria
Description: bacterial SSU rRNA
Rfam family: Bacterial small subunit ribosomal RNA
Source: RNAcentral
UGAGGAAUAUUGGUCAAUGGGCGCAAGCCUGAACCAGCCAUCCCGCGUGCAGGAAGACGGCGCUAUGCGUCGUAAACUGCUUUUCCAGGGGGAGAAACUUGCGCACGUGUUGCGCAAUUGACGGUACCCUGGGAAUAAGCAUCGGCUAACUCCGUGCCAGCAGCCGCGGUAAUACGGAGGAUGCGAGCGUUAUCCGGAUUCAUUGGGUUUAAAGGGUGCGUAGGCGGACUAUUAAGUCAGUGGUGAAAUCCUGCAGCUUAACUGCAGAACUGCCAUUGAUACUGAUAGCCUUGAGUUUGGUUAAGGUAGGCGGAAUGUGUAAUGUAGCGGUGAAAUGCUUAGAUAUUACACAGAACACCAAUUGCGUAGGCAGCUUACUGAGCCGACACUGACGCUGAGUCACGAAAGCGUGGGGAGCGAACAG